RNAcentral lists this ribosomal RNA (253 nucleotides) under uncultured bacterium. Its description in RNAcentral is "partial 16S ribosomal RNA". It matches the Rfam family "Bacterial small subunit ribosomal RNA", at positions 524 to 776 of the family's 1533-position model. The record is from RNAcentral.
UACGGGGGGGGCAAGCGUUGUUCGGAAUUACUGGGCGUAAAGGGCGCGUAGGCGGCCUGCUAAGUCGAACGUGAAAUCCCCGGGCUCAACCCGGGAACUGCGUCCGAUACUGGCAGGCUUGAAUUCGGGAGAGGGAUGCGGAAUUCCAGGUGUAGCGGUGAAAUGCGUAGAUAUCUGGAGGAACACCGGUGGCGAAGGCGGCGACCUGGGUCGAGACUGACGCUGAGGCGCGAAAGCGUGGGGAGCAAACAGG